UGGUCCCCGAGUGGGAGGGAGAGAACGACCACUGUUGUAAGAAAUAAAUAUCGGUGUGUGUCUUAGAAGUUCACGACUAAGUGACGAAGUCCCGAAGUAAGUAAAUCUCGAAAUGAGUGUUCACACAGUUUUAAGGAGAUCGUGUCAUUCUAUGAGCCACAAAUUUAGCAUCCGUUUUGCGCCAAUUAAGGACGAACUACGGCAGUAGCAAUACCCUCUUGCCGUAAAUCAAUGUCGUCAUAUUACGUCAAGAACACCGGUCGCCAAGUGAGAGGGAACAAAAAACGCCACUGUGUUGUAAGAAAUAUCGGUGUAAACUUGACAUUUAACGACCAAGUGACGAAACAUGGCUGUUGAAUUUCGGGUUGAUCGGUGAAAUUUUCCAGGAAACGCUACUGAGUGAAAUCUGGGAUAAGGAUGGAUUCUCUUGUCUUGGCGGCGUACCUUAGCGGUCAUGGCACCUGCUAACAAGCGCGACGACGUUGGCCAAAACAGAACACAGAAGGUUACUCAUCAGAAGAAGACACAUCACACGUCAGCGGCCACUUCCGGGGGAAUUGACAACGUGCACAAAACUGCCGGGAAGUAAGGCUAGUGGGAUGGCACACCCAGGCAUCUUGCGGCUGUGCAACCAGGUGGAUGCUUUGCUGAACUAACAAGGCGGCGUGAAGUGUGCGCUUGUUCUUGCUGGGUGGCUGCCUGAAAUGUCAGCGCUGAAGGAACAGAUAGUGCCAGUUUGUAAAAAGACGCCCUCUUGUGGACGAGGGGUGCAACUAUCUCUGAUCAAGAUGUGGAAAAAGACACAAACAUGAGGAAAACACCAAAAAGUGCUCGCGGUAGGACAUCAGCCGCUCACCUGGCUGAAGGGGACUCAGGCUAAUCUCAAAUCCGAUUAGCCUCCUUAUCUACUCAGUCCUGCUUUUAUGUUCUUUGGAGACUAUUGAAAUACCAUGCAAAGAAGACACACUCCAAAGUCUCGUUGCUGACAUAGCUCUAAAAAAGGGCUAAAGAAUGGAAAAGCAUGUGUAUUUCCUUUCACUUUUCACUUGUUGGAUUGAAUUUGUUCUCAUACAGCAUGCAUCUGCAAAUUUCUUGACUUUUAUAUCCAA
Molecule: long non-coding RNA, 1109 nt
Organism: Hippocampus comes (tiger tail seahorse)
Lineage: Eukaryota; Metazoa; Chordata; Actinopteri; Syngnathiformes; Syngnathidae
Exons: 6
Source: RefSeq, a predicted model, not a curated record